RNAcentral lists this transfer RNA (85 nucleotides) under Ancylobacter sp. WKF20. RNAcentral describes it as "tRNA-Leu". It matches the Rfam family "tRNA". Rfam says of the family: Transfer RNA (tRNA) molecules are approximately 80 nucleotides in length. Lineage: Bacteria; Pseudomonadati; Pseudomonadota; Alphaproteobacteria; Hyphomicrobiales; Xanthobacteraceae. The record is from RNAcentral.
GCCCGGUUGGCGGAAUUGGUAGACGCACUCGGUUUAGGUCCGAGCGCCUCGCGGCGUGGGGGUUCGAGUCCCUCACCGGGCACCA